GGCAGCACAGGGGCUGCUGCUUCGCCACCGGCUGCUUCGCUACGAAGGAGUUCCCGUGCUGUGGGAGCAAGUCCAGGACCGCUGUUCAGACCUGAAAGUCCCAGCUGUGUGUCAAGGCUGGAAGGGCUCCGGGGUGCGCGGGGCAAGUGACCGUGUGUAAAAAGGGUGAGGCGUGUGGAGCAGUAGCAAGACGGAAACGUGUGAACUCCUAAUUACCUGGCAUCGGAGAGGACGUUAUGAAGAUCGGCCCUUUCUUCAAAUAAGAGCAGUUGGAACAACAAAAGCUGUUCAGUUGUACCCUUGGAAUCCACGGAAAUCCUGGGUAGGGAAGCUCCAGUACCACCAACUGGAAAGACUGGGAAUGCCUAGUAGCUGGUACUGGCCAUUGUCGUAGGCUUUGUCCACUUUGACAAACUGAAGACGGGGACUCGACUCACCUUCGCCAGCCACAGGAGGACCUCCAGACGAGGACCGGACUCGCCGCCUUUCUUUCCCGUCAGAAAGGGAUCCCUUGCGGACAAGACCGAAUGGCCCCUAAGGCUUCUCUGCAGGUCCAACCGAAACAGGCCUGAAGUUCCAGGAUGGGCGAGAGGAUCCUCUUUGAGCGAAACCAGCCUUCUGCCUGGCUGGCCCUGGUCAACACACUCGGAAGAGGCCGAUUUGGAGGACAGAACGGAAGAAAAGACCUAAAGUAGAUGAUCCUCAUCCAAUCACUUAAAGGCCUGAAUAGAACCAAAAGUCUGACCUGCCCAUGAGUAAGAGAGAGCUCCUUCUGCCUGAUUGCUUCAGCUGAGAUAUCAGCCUUUUCCUGCCUUUGGAAUUGAACUGCAACACUGGCUCUUCCUGGGCCUCAAGCCUGCCAGCUUUUGAACUGUAAUCACACCAUCAUCUCUCCUGGUUCUCAGGCCUUUGGACUCAAAUCAGAAACACACCAUGGGCUCUCCUGUGUCUCAAGCUUGCCAACUGUGAUCUUGAGACUUCUCAGCCUCCAUAAUCACAUGAGUCAAUUGUUGGUUCUGUUUCUCUGGAGAACCCUAAUCCAUCACUUUACAUAUUUCUUCCAUUACACAUAUUGUUUCCCAGCAUAUUAAAUAAUUUACUGAUUAUA
Molecule: long non-coding RNA, 1108 nt
Filed under: Homo sapiens (human)
Lineage: Eukaryota; Metazoa; Chordata; Mammalia; Primates; Hominidae
Description: long intergenic non-protein coding RNA 1138
Source: RNAcentral